Molecule: ribosomal RNA, 123 nt
Filed under: Pogona vitticeps (central bearded dragon)
Lineage: Eukaryota; Metazoa; Chordata; Lepidosauria; Squamata; Agamidae
Source: RNAcentral
GUCUAUGGCCAUACCACCCUGAACAUGCCCGAUCUCGUCUGAUCUCGGAAGCUAAGCAGGGUCGGGCCUGGUUAGUACAGUGGUGCCCCCGCAUAGUGAUGAUAAUCUGUGCAGCAAAAAUCA